This 253-nucleotide ribosomal RNA is filed under the name uncultured bacterium. RNAcentral's name for it is "partial 16S ribosomal RNA". It matches the Rfam family "Bacterial small subunit ribosomal RNA", at positions 524 to 776 of the family's 1533-position model. The record is from RNAcentral.
UACAGAGGUCUCAAGCGUUGUUCGGAUUCAUUGGGCGUAAAGGGUGCGUAGGCGGCGCGGUAAGUCGGGUGUGAAAUCUCGGAGCUUAACUCCGAAACUGCAUUCGAUACUACCGUGCUUGAGGACUGGAGAGGAGACUGGAAUUUACGGUGUAGCGGUGAAAUGCGUAGAUAUCGUAAGGAAGACCAGUGGCGAAGGCGGGUUGCUGGGCUGACACUGACGCUGAUGUGCGAAAGCUAGGGGAGCGAACGGG